Molecule: ribosomal RNA, 497 nt
Filed under: uncultured bacterium
Lineage: Bacteria
Description: partial 16S ribosomal RNA
Rfam family: Bacterial small subunit ribosomal RNA
Source: RNAcentral
GAUGAACGCUGGCGGCGUGCCUAAUACAUGCGAGUCGAGCGAACGGACGAGAAGCUUGCUUCUCUGAUGUUAGCGGCGGACGGGUGAGUAACACGUGGAUAACUUACCUAUAAGACUGGGAUAACUUCGGGAAACCGGAGCUAAUACCGGAUAAUAUUUUGAACCGCAUGGUUCAAAAGUGAAAGACGGUCUUGCUGUCACUUAUAGAUGGAUCCGCGCUGCAUUAGCUAGUUGGUAAGGUAACGGCUUACCAAGGCAACGAUGCAUAGCCGACCUGAGAGGGUGAUCGGCCACACUGGAACUGAGACACGGUCCAGACUCCUACGGGAGGCAGCAGUAGGGAAUCUUCCGCAAUGGGCGAAAGCCUGACGGAGCAACGCCGCGUGAGUGAUGAAGGUCUUCGGAUCGUAAAACUCUGUUAUUAGGGAAGAACAUAUGUGUAAGUAACUGUGCACAUCUUGACGGUACCUAAUCAGAAAGCCACGGCUAACUACGUG